AAGGUCUUAGCUUAAUUAAAGUGUCUGAGUUGCAAUCAGGUGAUGUAGUUGUUAUUACAGGCCUUC
RNAcentral lists this transfer RNA (66 nucleotides) under Cyrtodactylus auribalteatus (Golden-belted bent-toed gecko). RNAcentral describes it as "tRNA Ala". It matches the Rfam family "tRNA". Rfam says of the family: Transfer RNA (tRNA) molecules are approximately 80 nucleotides in length. Their secondary structure includes four short double-helical elements and three loops (D, anti-codon, and T loops). The record is from RNAcentral. Lineage: Eukaryota; Metazoa; Chordata; Lepidosauria; Squamata; Gekkonidae.